UACGUAGGGUGCAAGCGUUGUCCGGAAUUAUUGGGCGUAAAGAGCUCGUAGGCGGCUUGUCGCGUCGACUGUGAAAAACCACGACUCAACCGUGGGACUGCAGUCGAUACGGGCAGGCUAGAGUUCGGUAGGGGAGACUGGAAUUCCUGGUGUAGCGGUGAAAUGCGCAGAUAUCAGGAGGAACACCGGUGGCGAAGGCGGGUCUCUGGGCCGUAACUGACGCUGAGGAGCGAAAGCGUGGGGAGCGAACAGG
RNAcentral lists this ribosomal RNA (253 nucleotides) under uncultured bacterium. Its description in RNAcentral is "partial 16S ribosomal RNA". It matches the Rfam family "Bacterial small subunit ribosomal RNA", at positions 524 to 776 of the family's 1533-position model. The record is from RNAcentral.